GCGCCCGUAGCUCAGCUGGAUAGAGCGCCGGACUUCGAAUCCGUAGGCCGGGGGUUCGAAUCCCUCCGGGCGUGCCA
RNAcentral lists this transfer RNA (77 nucleotides) under Desulfonema limicola. Its description in RNAcentral is "tRNA-Arg". It matches the Rfam family "tRNA". Rfam says of the family: Transfer RNA (tRNA) molecules are approximately 80 nucleotides in length. Their secondary structure includes four short double-helical elements and three loops (D, anti-codon, and T loops). Lineage: Bacteria; Pseudomonadati; Thermodesulfobacteriota; Desulfobacteria; Desulfobacterales; Desulfococcaceae. RNAcentral also lists the same sequence under 8 other names. The record is from RNAcentral.